CUUUGCGCACAGAGAUUUAACCGGAUUCCUUGAAUCUUUUAAUUAUAUUAUGCACUGCAGUAGGUGAAAUACCCAAAAUCCUAACGAUUUGUCUUCGGAGAAUGUGUUGGAUUAUUCACUGACGCACCAGUUGUCAGAUUGGCGAGCCUCGACCCGUCCUUGCUCUUGAAGGACUAGUUUUUUUUGGAGGCUCCAUGUAUAUACAAUGAUUAGACGAUUGCCUCACCUGUUUCACAUCACCUUCUUAUUUCAACUCGUCACAUCGCUAUUAGUCCUAAAUUGCCCCUGUCCCAACUUUUUUGGAAUGUUUUGCAUGCCUCAAUAAACAUUUAUCUUCAAAAAACUAUGCAGUUGAGUAGGUAAAACAUAAAAUACCUCAUCUUUAUAUGUUUUUGGUUAAAAUAUUACUAUUAUUAAAUAUCCUCAUUUCUUUAGAGGGAUACAUAAUAGUUCUCUGUAAUCUUACAUUUUUCCAGAUUUUUUUUUUUUUGGACAGAAGACAAACGUUUAUAUAGAAAACAGAAUUUAUUAAAGAAUUUGCUCUGUACUUGAGCAAUUUUAUGUGUUGAAAAAUGAAGUCUACAAGCAUGUAAACAAAUGAGGGUUAAGCAAUGGGCUCUCUCAGUCCUGGGAUUUGAACUUUUAAGCUGUUAUUUUUUUAAAAAAGUUAAAGCUUUAGACACGAUGCCGUGAACCAACAUGAUGUUAAACUAGUUACGAUCAAGUAACUGUAAUAUUAACUUUUACUAGUCUUUUACGUUACAUAUAGAAGUAUUACAGGUGUGUAUCAUAUACUAGCGAGGCGGCGCUGAAUCGAAUCAUUAUACACUGAAUAACGUAGUUGUGAACCCAAAGUGGAUGAACAUAAAAGCGGGAGAAACAGGUCUCACAAACAAUUUUUAUUGGCUCGCUUUAAUCAAACAAUACACAGAGAUACAUCUAUAAACAAUGAGCUGAAAGAAACUGUACAUUUGUAGUUGCACAUGUAUAUUGCUACUGCUGGUACUAGUGCUGUACAGUUUUGCCAGAUCUUACACUCGAUCAUUAGACCCGGCCUGAAAAGGUGGCCAAGCUUUAACACGCCGAUGCAUUUUUAGCUUUGCCAAGGAUUCAGUCUUGACCACAUCUGGACAAGGUACCAUUACACGCUGCGUAUAAAGUCAAAGAUCGUUUCACAGCUGCUAUAUAGAUCUAUUGUGGUGCUAUCACAGGAAAGACAACGAAACACGUGAUGAUACACAGCUUACAAACGUUCUAAGUAAUCUGCCUCAUUAUAAACAAGAAAACGAUGAGUGAUUCGCACCCCUCCCCGCCACGCACGCAUACAUAACAGGUUACACACAUUCAAACAACAACAACAACAACAAAAAAAUCCCUCAUUGAGCCAAUGGAAUGUUAGUCAUUUGGGCAAGUUGUCCGACUGUCUUUGUAAUCGCCAUGCGCAAUGUGUUUGUGUGUGCGCGCACCAAUGGCGUAACUCCUUCCCACUUUGAAAAGAGGAACUGACAGACAAUAACUGUUCUGGAUGUAGAAAUGUGGGAUGGGAUGAAAUCCCCCUCGAAACGCAUUGUAGCUUUCAUAAAAAAUGUGUCUCUACAAUCAAACUACUAAAAAAACUGCCUUUAGAAAAUAGUAGAUAAAAAUAUUCCCCUGAAUUGUACAAGAAGAGAGGUACAGGGAGCACUGGUUCGAGACAAGACGUUAUUCUGCUUCGUCGUCCUUCUUCUCCGUCUCUUCUGUUGCUGGUGCCUGAAAAGAUCAAAAAUACGCACAAUUUACAUCUGAUUCUUUUCGGGUUUUUUUUUUUAAAUACAAAAGGCAGAUAUUCUUAUCAAAUAUCACAGGCCCGAAGGCGUACCUCAUCGUCAUCCUUUGCCUCGCCGUUCUCAGCAGGGACUUCCUCUUUCUUCUCCUCGUCGUUGGGCUUGUCUUCCUUGGGCUCCUUAGUCUUUUUGGGUUUGGCAGGUGCCUUCUACAAAGAACAUGUCAUUACCGAUUAAUAAACUAUCAAUCUCAGUACUUUAACAAGGAAGUAAAACAAACCGACAGGCUUGUUUAUUUUUUUGUGUGUGUUUACCUUUGCCUUUGGCUUCGGCUCAGCCUUAGGAGGUGCCGGUUUCUGAAAAUCAAAUAAAAUCAUGCGGUUUGUGGUUAAAAAAAAAACACACAAACAAAAAAAAAAAACAGUUAUUUGUACAAACUAAAUGUGCUGGGUGUAUUGCUCAUCGGGUGGUUACUUACGUUUACCAAUCUCGCCGAUCUCCUUUUGGGCUGAAAACACACACACACAAAAACAUCAAAGGAACGUGUGAAUUUGUGCCGUCACAAAUUUGAGUAGUGAAAACAGCGUUCGUCUUACGAUUCAAAACAAACUUACCUCACUGGCUUCAGUGUCAUUGUUCGCCUGAAAAACAAAGAAAUUUUAAUCAGUUUAAAUGGAGAAAAACAAGAUGUUAUACUUCUUGAAAGAAGAAUAGAAACAAGAACUUUAAUGGCAACUCAAUGGUGCUCAAACUGCAAACACCGCCCCACCCCCUUCAUAUAUAUAUAAAAACUAAUGUUGAUCUCAAAAGCCCGCCAUUUUCUUGCCGCUGUGUGCUGAUUGGCUGCCCGUGUGCGCACGAGGGAGAAGGAGGGAACUAUGAACCCCGCCUCCCUUCCACACUAAUCUAUUCAGCAACGUUGACGAUUUAAUUAAAGAUAUACGAUUAAAAUGGCGUUUUGAUACCGAUUCUGAUUUCCCCCCUUGCUUUUCAUUGUUGCCAGGACAUACUCGGAUAGUUUGGGGCCGUUAUAAAGGAAAGGAAAAGGCCAGAAAAACGACAAGAGUCGCUGCGGUGUGCAAGAUUCGCCAUUUUUACAACCACAGAUUUGCACGAAUUCACAGCUAUGGCGACGAACGUGUAUCGUCUAUAAGCACAUUAAUACAUUUAUACAAGUAGAAUUCACUCCCAGAGAAACACACGCGUUUGUUUUAUUUUUAAUGUGUUUUUCGAGAAAAAGAAAGGAAAAAAAAACAAAAAGCGGUCGAAGGGAUCAUACCAGAGACCAUUGAGCUUUUCUUGGAGGAGCAUUUCCAUACAAGACCGUUUUCCAAAACAAGGAUCGAGUUUUUUUUUUGCAUUUAAAACCCCAAAACACAUACAAAACGAUUCGUAUACGUUCGAAAAAGCACAACGACCUACAAUGCAUGUAAUUUUAUUUAUUUAUUUUAAACGUGCAUUUAGCUUAUGAGGUUAUGGAGAGGGAAGAAUAAGUGAAAAGUAGAGAUCGCCUCAGUUACACCCCUUUGUCUAGCUCCAUGUAUCCAGGGCUACUUCGUCCAUUUGUAAACAGUGAGCAUGAAAAUAACCUGCUUCAGAAAAAACAAAACCACCUUCAUGCACUUAACUGAAACAGAAAUGCACGCGCUCGUGCAACGCGUUAAAGAAGGAAAACCCAAGUCCGUGCACACCGAAAUGAAGCGCGUGGCAAAAUCAAAACACAUAAGUAUAUAUAUAUUUUUUCUUUUUAAACGUGCAACAAAAACGAAUGCACACUGCAAACUUAAUGCGAGCAAAGCAAAAACAGAGAUAUAACUCUCGAAUGCAUGUUUUAAAAGCAAUGCAAUAAGGCACGUUUUGCACAUUUACACCGAUUAAAAGACAGAUCAAAGAGAAUUCCAAGUAUCACACAUAAGUACUUACUUUGCUCCUUUUGGGCAUGGCUGCUUUUGAGGUGUUAAAACACACACACACACACACACACAAAAAUAAAAAAUAAAACCAGGAAUAAGAUACAAGAAGAGGGGGAAAGUAAGCAAGGCAAAGAGACUAAAAAUAGCUAACAACAGUGCUUAGUUAGCUCGAUAAAAAGACACACAGGUUUCAGCGCAGGAAGACGUUAACGUCCCAUCGAAACACAAACUAGCUAAAACCGGAUUGGAUUCUCCCCCCUUUCCCCCCUCCCUCCCCUCCUGUUCACUUCAUCAUCACAGCACCGAGCUACUGACCACGCCUCCUGUCCGCCUCGCGCACUCACCCGAUUGGUGCUCGAAACCGAACGCGACGCCCCUCUCCGCCUCGCGUGCG
Long non-coding RNA from Ictalurus punctatus (channel catfish), 4070 nucleotides. The record is from Ensembl. NCBI's taxonomy places the organism in Eukaryota, Metazoa, Chordata, Actinopteri, Siluriformes, Ictaluridae.